GUGGGGAAUAUUGGACAAUGGGCGAAAGCCUGAUCCAGCCAUGCCGCGUGUGUGAAGAAGGUCUUCGGAUUGUAAAGCACUUUAAGUUGGGAGGAAGGGCAUUAACCUAAUACGUUAGUGUUUUGACGUUACCGACAGAAUAAGCACCGGCUAACUUCGUGCCAGCAGCCGCGGUAAUACGAAGGGUGCAAGCGUUAAUCGGAAUUACUGUGCGUAAAGCGCGCGUAGGUGGUUCGUUAAGUUGGAUGUGACAGCCCCGAGAUCAACCUGGGAACUGCAUCCAAAACUGGCGAGCUAGAGUACGGUAGAGGGUGGUGGAAUUUCCUGUGUAGCGGUGAAAUGCGUAGAUAUAGGAAGGAACACCAGUGGCGAAGGCGACCACCUGGACUGAUACUGACACUGAGGUGCGAAAGCGUGGGGAGCAAACAGGAUUAGAUACCCUAGUAGUCC
RNAcentral lists this ribosomal RNA (450 nucleotides) under uncultured bacterium. RNAcentral describes it as "partial 16S ribosomal RNA". It matches the Rfam family "Bacterial small subunit ribosomal RNA", at positions 354 to 796 of the family's 1533-position model. The record is from RNAcentral.